Molecule: ribosomal RNA, 654 nt
Filed under: uncultured archaeon
Lineage: Archaea
Description: bacterial SSU rRNA
Rfam family: Archaeal small subunit ribosomal RNA
Source: RNAcentral
GCCUAAAGCGUCCGUAGCCUGUUCUAUAAGUUUCCGGUUAAAUCCAUUAGCUCAACUAAUGGGCUGCCGAAAAUACUGUAGAACUAGGGAGUGGGAGAGGUAGACGGUAUUCGGUAGGAAGGGGUAAAAUCCUUUGAUCUAUUGAGGACCACCUGUGGCGAAGGCGGUCUACCAGAACACGUUCGACGGUGAGGGAUGAAAGCUGGGGGAGCAAACCGGAUUAGAUACCCGGGUAGUCCCAGCCGUAAACGAUGCAGACUCGGUGAUGCGCUGGCUUGUGGCCAGUGCAGUGCCGCAGGGAAGCCGUUAAGUUUGCCGCCUGGGAAGUACGUACGCAAGUAUGAAACUUAAAGGAAUUGGCGGGGGAGCACCACAAGGGGUGAAGCCUGCGGUUCAAUUGGAGUCAACGCCAGAAAUCUUACCCGGAGAGACAGCAGAAUGAAGGUCAAGUUGAAGCCUUUACCAGACAAGCUGAGAAGUGGUGCAUGGCCGUCGCCAGCUCGUGCCGUGAGGUGUCCUGUUAAGUCAGGUAACGAGCGAGAUCCUUGCCUCUAGUUGCUACCAUUACUCUCAGGAGUAGUGGGGCGAAUUAGCGGGACUGCCGUAGUUAAUACGGAGGAAGGAGAGGGCCACGGCAGGUCAGUAUGCCCCGAA